AUUGAACGCUGGCGGCAGGCCUAACACAUGCAAGUCGAGCGGAUGAAGGGAGCUUGCUCCUGGAUUCAGCGGCGGACGGGUGAGUAAUGCCUAGGAAUCUGCCUGGUAGUGGGUGAUAACGUCCGGAAACGGGCGCUAAUACCGCAUACGUCCUGAGGGAGCAAGUGGGGGAUCUUCGGACCUCACGCUAUCAGAUGAGCCUAGGUCGGAUUAGCUAGUUUGUGGGGUAAAGGCCUACUAAGGCGACGAUCCGUAAGUGGUCUGAGAGGCUGAUCAGUGACACUGGAGCUGAGACGCGGUCCUGGGUACUACGGGACGCCGCAGAGGGGAAUAGUAGACAGUAGUGGAGAGUAUGGUACAGCCGUGCCAAGUGUGAUACAGAGGUCCUGCGAUUGUAAAGAACGUUAAGGUGGGAGAAAGCGCAGUAAGCUAAUACGUUGCUGGUUUGACGUUAAUGACAGAAUAAGCACCGGCUAACUUCGUG
Molecule: ribosomal RNA, 484 nt
Filed under: uncultured bacterium
Lineage: Bacteria
Description: partial 16S ribosomal RNA
Rfam family: Bacterial small subunit ribosomal RNA
Source: RNAcentral